Long non-coding RNA from Maniola jurtina (meadow brown), 1083 nucleotides. RefSeq lists it as uncharacterized. NCBI's taxonomy places the organism in Eukaryota, Metazoa, Arthropoda, Insecta, Lepidoptera, Nymphalidae. The transcript is spliced from 3 exons. The record is from RefSeq and is a predicted model, not a curated record.
UAAAUUAAACUAUGUAUAUGUAGUGGUCUUAAUAAGUUCUUAUAAUGUGAAAAUGCCUGAAAAAAUUGGUAAAGAGAUGUGAAGUUAGAGGAAAGGGGGCAAAAGGAAGGCACCGCAUCACAAUGAGCCUAUACUUAUCAUCACUCCGGAAAAUGUAUUAAUGAUAAUUGAAUAAGCUCUGGUCGUAGAGAUUCCCAAUCUUUUAAACAAAUAUGGCGGCUUAAAAGCCUCCUAAAAAAAUGAAAUGCGUGUAAACUUGGCGCGCGGUUGAUAUACUAUGGGCCUCCGUAGCUGAGGGAUUUUUCUCUGCGGAGCACAAAAAUCCCCGAAGCGUAGAUUAAUAAAAGUAGAGACUCAACGCACACGGUGUGCGAUCAUCAUGUGUGUUAGUUAUACUAGCUAACACUGAAGACCAUCGGGUCUUCCUGCGUUCCUGAAAAUAGAAGAUCUGCCUAUCGAGGCAGAUCUAUUUUCAGGAACGCAGGAACGUGUGUACAACCAUAGACGUACAAUUUUCGCUUUGUACAACGGUUUUAUUUAAAAGUGACAGUUGUUAUAUGUAUUUGACAGUUCAUAAGUACAACAGUUUACCUACCACAGAUUAGAUUAGGCCCGAUUUACAUUAGGUCGCAAAUGGGACAUAAAUGCACUAUCAACUUCUAAUCAUAAGCGUUAACAAUUUUUUUGGCAAGUUUGAAUGUUAUAUAAUCUUUUUUUACUGUUUCAAAUGUAAUUUGUUUUGUUUACAUGAUUGGGAAUCUCUAUCAGACUAGAAUUAGAUGUACUCUAGCUUUUGUAACUCGUGUUUUGUCCGCGAGAGGGCGUCGCGCUCGCUACGAAUGAUGCCGCCGCGGCUUAGCGAACAUACAGUUCCUCUAUAAGCAUUAUAAUAUGCAAUAUUAUAGCUGCUUGACUGGUCAAACAGUAGCCCAACUACGGGAAGGAACUGCGAUCGCUAAACUGGGACGUCGCACGCGCCGAUGUUAUGGUUAUUGAAUUUCUAAUUGUUUUGGUACGUUACAUUUUGUUUACUUUCAUAUUACGAUUAUAUUGUAAAUAAAAAUAAAAAGCUUUGGAUUUGAA